Molecule: long non-coding RNA, 462 nt
Filed under: Bos taurus (domestic cattle)
Lineage: Eukaryota; Metazoa; Chordata; Mammalia; Artiodactyla; Bovidae
Description: long non-coding RNA NONBTAT022051
Source: RNAcentral
AGACUCUGGAAAUCAUAUACAUAUUGUAUCCUAAAAAUACCCUUGAGAUACACACACAGAGAAAUCUAUCAAUGAUUCAGAGUUUUAAAUAUUUUUUCAAAACUCUAAAUUUAUGGAUGAUAGGAAAAACUGUUUAGAUCAUUUGUGAUUUAAUAUUUAUCUUCCUAUAUCUAUCCCCUAAUAUAGUUUUGUAUGUUAUUUUUCAGUACAAAUGAUUUUCUUACAUAAUUUUAGUGAAAUUGCAUAUUCCAUCUCUAUGUACAUUCUCUUAUUUAAAAUAGUGUUUUAUUUUAUUUCACUUAAAAAUAGAGAUUUAUACAAAUAAUAUUCUAUUAUACAAAGAAAUUUUUAUUAGCAAUAAUCAUUCAAUAUUUAUUGAUUUUUUACUAUUGACAUGGCAUUGUGUAGAUUAUACACCCUAGAAGUGUUUUAGAAGAUAUUAUAAUUUAAAUAGUUGAAAGU